AUACAGAGGGUGCGAGCGUUAAUCGGAUUUACUGGGCGUAAAGCGUGCGUAGGCGGCUGUUUAAGUCGGAUGUGAAAUCCCUGAGCUUUACUUAGGAAUUGCAUUCGAUACUGGGAAGCUAGAGUAUGGGAGAGGAUGGUAGAAUUCCAGGUGUAGCGGUGAAAUGCGUAGAGAUCAGGAGGAAUACCGAUGGCGAAGGCAGCCAUCUGGCCUAAUACUGACGCUGAGGUACGAAAGCAUGGGGAGCAAACAGGAUUAGAAACCCUUGUAGUCC
This 274-nucleotide ribosomal RNA is filed under the name uncultured bacterium. RNAcentral's name for it is "partial 16S ribosomal RNA". It matches the Rfam family "Bacterial small subunit ribosomal RNA", at positions 523 to 796 of the family's 1533-position model. The record is from RNAcentral.